Acanthochromis polyacanthus (spiny chromis) is the source of this 838-nucleotide long non-coding RNA. RefSeq lists it as uncharacterized. The record is from RefSeq and is a predicted model, not a curated record. NCBI's taxonomy places the organism in Eukaryota, Metazoa, Chordata, Actinopteri, Pomacentridae. The transcript has 7 exons.
UAUGGUCAAUAAAAUAUCUGAGAUCAAUUAAAGAAAUAAAACGAGCACAAUUGUUCUGCUCUGCACAAAAAUACACGGAGUUAGCUUGGUGGCUAACAUGCUAAUCCCGGAAGAGGAGGGACCGUCAGACGGAAGCGCUGUUUGAUCGUCUCUCCUGGAGGUUCAGGUUCUUUACAGGCAGAAUGAAGAGAGAUUUAGACCUCUGUGGGAUUCCGCAGAUUAUAUUUUUUCCAAGAAUACAACACAGGAACAAGAAAAAUGAAGAAUUUUACCUCUUUCCAAGAAGCCAACUGCUGAGCCGUGACACCGUUGAGGCUGAUUUGGAUGUAGAGACAGAAGAAUGAACGAGCUGAAUUCAAUCCAAGGACGAUGUGAUAAUCCUGAGAUCAAAGCGAGUGUGGGACAGCUGGAGCAAAGUAGAAAAUUUGAGCCAUGUGGAUGAGGAUUUGCUGUUUCAGAUGAAGGUUUUCAUUGACCAGCUGGUUUUAAGAGCAGGGAGUGAUGUGGAGAAAAAUAGAACCAGCUGGAUGAAGAUUUGCAGCUGGUUUUAGGAGCAGGUAACAAUGAAGAGACUGAAAACUUGAACUGGCUGGAUGAGGAUUUGCUGUCAUUUAGAAUUAACCAGCCACAGUUGAUUUCAGCUCUACAAGACAACAGCUGUCCUGCUGAUGAUCUGUUUUUUUUUAACGGUUUCUCAACACCUUUUUAUUUUUUAAAUAUAUUUCUGCUGCCUUGGAGCCGACAGAACACACCAGAGUGAGGCCACUACCAGUUGAUGGGAUCCGUAAUUUAUGUUGUCAUGUUGGAUUUGCUGAAUAAACAGUAACUGAUUGUUGAA